UCCGGUUUGUCACCGGCAGUCUCCUAUGAGUCCCCGACAUUACUCGCUGGCAACAUGGAACGAGGGUUGCGCUCGUUGCGGGACUUAACCCAACAUCUCACGACACGAGCUGACGACAACCAUGCACCACCUGUGAACCGGCCCCAAAGGGGAAACCACAUUUCUGCGGCGAUCCGGCCCAUGUCAAGCCUAGGUAAGGUUCUUCGCGUUGCAUCGAAUUAAGCCACAUGCUCCGCCGCUUGUGCGGGCCCCCGUCAAUUCCUUUGAGUUUUAAUCUUGCGACCGUACUCCCCAGGCGGAUGACUUAAUGCGUUAGCUGCGCCACCCAGGCACCAAGUGCCCGGACAGCUAGUCAUCAUCGUUUACGGCGUGGACUAC
RNAcentral lists this unclassified non-coding RNA (378 nucleotides) under uncultured bacterium. RNAcentral's name for it is "contains 16S-23S intergenic spacer region". The record is from RNAcentral.